UGCCGCGGUGGCUCCCCUGUGGGCUCCCGCCCUGCUGUGGUGGCGGCGCCGCGCAGCUCCGCCCCGGGAAAGUGCGGGCCUCCCGUCCGGCGAGGCCCGGAGACGCGGAAAGACGCGCCCCCCUUCUCGCGGCCUCUGACAGCUGGUCACACUCACACUUUGGAUUGAACACCUGGCGGUGUGUCCGCUGACCUGCCGGGUACAGAUGUCGGGAGACGAGCUCUCGGACCUCCAGGAGUUUGCAGUUUGGUUGGAAACAAUGACAAAAGAUGAAAUUCAAUCUGGCGGCACCACCCGAUCCCGGCCCCCUUCUCGACCCACCUUUCUGCAUGUCUCAAGGCUUUACAAAAAGGAUUUUGAGAGUGACAGUCCUAGAGAUCUAAUUUCAGCGAGGAGUACUAGGUAUCAGGAAGAUUAGAGGUGGCAAGGGCCUGCAAGAGGAAAUAUGGACGGAGCAAAGGAGAACAGUUUUUCAUUGUUUUGUUUUUUGGGGAAUUUUUUUAACAUUACCAUCAUGAUCCGAGAAUCUGUUUCUUCCAUAUAUUUUGCCUGAUACCUUGCCUUUGACUGUCUCCAGUGUGGAGAAAGCUCUUCCCUCAACUCUCAACUCUGGGACUCAGGUAAUGCUAUUUUUUGUUCCUUAACAUUUCUCUCAAAAAUAUGUUUGCAAUAUUUCGAAAUCCACUUGAGUAUCUGCUUCCUUUGCCCAGAAUAUAAAAUUCACUCUUUUACAAAGAAUUAGGUAGCGUGCCAUAAAGUUGAAAUGAUGUUUUUAUUAGACAUGAUUUAA
This is a long non-coding RNA of Nyctereutes procyonoides (raccoon dog), 790 nucleotides long. RefSeq lists it as uncharacterized. The transcript is spliced from 3 exons. NCBI's taxonomy places the organism in Eukaryota, Metazoa, Chordata, Mammalia, Carnivora, Canidae. The record is from RefSeq and is a predicted model, not a curated record.